AUUUAAUAAGAAAAUAUAGGUUUGAUUAAAAUAAAUUUUAGUUGAUUAAAAGGGAAUUAGGUGAGAAUCCUAAACUAUCCCGUAGCUGUAUUGGAGGAGUUUGAAUACAUAUUAUGUCACUUAGAAAUAGGGAAGGCGUAUUCGAAUGAUAAUUCUUAAGUCAGAAGACCUGCCUAUAUUUGGCACCGUAA
RNAcentral lists this non-coding RNA (191 nucleotides) under Clostridium sp. Lineage: Bacteria; Bacillati; Bacillota; Clostridia; Eubacteriales; Clostridiaceae. RNAcentral also lists the same sequence under 1 other name. The record is from RNAcentral.